GAUUACCUUACCUACUCCACCACAACCAGCAACAUCCCAUUAUUAUCCUACCACCGUCACACGGCCUGGCGACGUGUCCCUGUUAAAUAAUGAUGCCAUACACCCAGGAGUGAUUUCUGGAGUGGUAGAGGAGAACCCAUUGGGGGCCCAAGAAAACAGCUGGCAGCCCGGCAAGUUCAAAUAUAAGACACUCUAAAAAAUACUAAAAGCUUUUCAAUAGCAUUGCCAACUCAUUAAAAGGCAUACCUAAGUUGUUCUGAUCGUGGCGGGGGUUGUUUGUCAAACAACACAUGUUGUCAUACUAAUGCUUUUUAUACCCCAUUCAGCUGUACCCAGGGAUGUAGUGGACAUGGAAAGGAUUAAACAUUUAGACUUUCAUCAAAGUAAAAAAUGCUGGUUUGUCCUUUUUCAUCAAUGUCCUCAAAAAAGCAGGCUGCAGAGCUACUGUGUCUGUGGGGUGACUGUCUCUGGAGGGCUGGCAGGCAGGGGCAA
Long non-coding RNA from Osmerus eperlanus (European smelt), 492 nucleotides. RefSeq lists it as uncharacterized. The record is from RefSeq and is a predicted model, not a curated record. NCBI's taxonomy places the organism in Eukaryota, Metazoa, Chordata, Actinopteri, Osmeriformes, Osmeridae. The transcript is spliced from 3 exons.